CGGCUCCCGCUUUCCCGGCCGCCGAGCCCGAGCCGCCGUGGGCGGGGCCUGCGGUGAUUGGCGGGCGGGCGGGGAGGUCGGAAGUACUUUGUUUUUUAUGCUAAUGAGGGAGUGGGGCUUGUCCGUAUUUACGUUGAGGCGGGAGCCGCCGCCCUUCAUUCACCCACAUGGUCCUUCGAGGUGCUGCCGCCGCUGCCCGACCUGCGCCUUCGCGCCACUUCGCGCCCUCGGGCGAGGCCGAGGGGGUGGGGACGACCCCCGCCGCGCCGCCGCGGCUCGCGCCCCCUCGCGAAGCCCCCUCCGCGGGGCGGGCCGGCCGGCUGGCCGCACCCCCGGCCUGGGGCCUCCGGUCGUAGUAAAGCGGAGGCGGGUGGGGAGGCGGGAGCGAGAGCCCGCGGCGGGCGAGGCGAAGAUGGUGGCGGCUACUCCUCCUGUCAUACACGUGGACCUAACUGCACCAAAAGCUUUUCUAAGGAUAUUUGCUGAGAAGGAAGUUUUCCCGAGUGGAGCUUCAGAACCAUCACUAACAAAAAGAGAGCUGUCAAAGAUGGAGACUUAUUCCUUAAACCCGUCUCAGCCCCAGGCAGAAGACAUGGACACGCAAGCCUGAAAAACUCCGCGCUAAACCAACCAGGGAGCUCUGGGACUCUGGUGGGAGCCAAGGCAGUCCAUCAGCUACCCUAUAGUGAGGCCCUGGUCCUGUAUGAAGCACCCCCAGCAUUUGGAGGAUGGAUAACUGCUGUAAUGGUCAUUAGCGACAUCAACAUCAACCACUGCAGAGAAAGGACCCAGCAGAGCCAUAUCCCACCCCAAUUCUGGGUACAUUUUUUAAAAAGUCACAAAAAAUUAUAAAGCAUCUAUUAAAAAAUUAUGUAUAAUCUGUUUUGUUUUCUGAUACAUGAAGGAUUUAUUGUUAUUAUUCUCUGAUUUCUUACCAAUUAAAAUUAUCAAAUAGCAUAGCUAAUAGCGACUUAUUAAUAUUGACUUAAAAUCUUUUAGUCUGUUUUCUAUAUACUUACCAGUAUUCUUUUUUCUUGAACAAUUUCCUCCUAUUUUCCAAAUAGAAUUUACUGAAAAUGUGAGACAAUAUAUUUUCCAUACAAAGAGAAAGUAUAUUAGUUUAAAACAGAAGCCAUACAUAGUAUCUAUUUAUUAUUUUCAGCAUUUUUUUCCUUUAUAGGAUUGUGUUUCUCACAGAUGUUUAUGUCUUGAUCUGCAAGAGUGAAUUAGCCGGGUAUUGCCACUUUUGAACAGUUGGUGGCUCCAGUGCUUUGCAACUGUCUUGUAAGUGCUGCACCGAAAUAGGCAAGCUCUCUUUUAAGUGUUCAAUGCAGAAUUUGAAAACAAAAAUGCAUUUGAAUGAAUAUUGUGCAUUUAACCGGAAACUGAAUGUCAUAUCAGUUAUGAAUUCGAAAGGAAAGUUUUAAAACUAACAUGUGAUUCAGCCUGUGUAAUAUAGUGUGAAUACACAUUAGUACAUUCACUAAGUGCACUUAAAAGGUCAAAAGUGUUCCACCAGAGACAUAAUGUAAGCCACAAAUGUAAUUUAAAAAAUUUCCAGUAGUCACAUUAAAAAAAUGAGAAAUUAAUAUUAAUUUGGUGAAAUUAAU
This is a long non-coding RNA of Bos indicus x Bos taurus (hybrid cattle), 1610 nucleotides long. NCBI's taxonomy places the organism in Eukaryota, Metazoa, Chordata, Mammalia, Artiodactyla, Bovidae. The record is from Ensembl.